AACAAGUACCGUGAGGGAAAGAUCAAAAGCACUUUGAAAAGAGGGUGAAAAGAACCUGAAACCGUUACGAAGGAAGCGUAUUGCGUUGAACUGGUGGCUAUUAUUGUGUUCAGCCGGUUUUGGUGUAUUCACAAUUUGGCUAUCCGUCGUGCCUUUUCUGCAGCUGAUGUUGAGCUGCGGGAGAGGGAGGGAUCCCCUUUACGGGUUGAGGACGAUGGAGUGGCAACGCGAUGCGACCCGUCUUGAAACACGGACCAAGGAGUCUAACACAGUUGCGAGUUGAAGGGUGGCGAAACCUGGAGGCGCAGUGAAAGCGAAUUGUUAGAACUGGCAGUUUGUGGCGGCAUAAAAUCGUUGAUUUUAGGUCUGACCUAGAGCAGUUGUGUUAGGACCCGAAAGAUGGUGAACUAUGCUUGAGUAGGGCGAAGCCAGAAGAAAUUCUGGUGGAGGCCCGAAGCGGUGCUGACGUGCAAAUCGCUCGUCGAACUCGAGUAUAGGGGCGAAAGACUAAUCGAACCAUCUAGUAGCUGGUUCCCUCCGAAGUUUCUCUCAGGAUAGCGGGCCGACACUUAUUGUUUUGUGCGGUAAAGCGAAUGAUUAGCGCACGCGGGGACUCUUAGUCUUCGGUCGAUUCUCAAACUUUUAAUGCGCAAGGGCACCGGUGCUUUGUUGAGCGGUGCCGAUAAAAAUGUCGGCUUCGUGGGCCACUUUUGGUAAGCAGAACUGGCGAUGUGGGAUGAACCAUACGUGUGGUUAAGGCGCCAAAUUGCUCGCUUAUAGAUCCCAAAAAAGGUGUUGAUUCAUCGAGACAGCAGGACGGUGGCCAUGGAAGUCGGAAUCCGCUAAGGAGUGUGUAACAACUCACCUGCCGAAUGGAUUAGCCCUGAAAAUGGAUGGCGCUAAAGCGGGUAGCCGAUACCACGCCGUCUAUUUAAUGGAAAAGAAUAAUAGAUGAGUAGGAGGGCGUGGAGGUCGUAUCGAAGCAUGCGUGCAAACGUGUGUGGAACGGCCUCUAGUGCAGAUCUUGGUGGUAGUAGCAAAUAUUCAAGCGAGAUCCUUGAAGGGCGAAGCGGGGAAGGGUUCCACGCGAACAUUGAUUGGGCGUGGGUGAGUCGUUCCUAAGCCGGGUGGUAAUUGCUAUCUAGCGGCGAAAGGGAAGCGGGUUGAAAUUCCUGCACACGGAUGUGGAGGCGGUGACGCUUUAAUGAGACGAGCAUGUUGGCGGUUGCACUGGGCAGAGAUUUCUUUUCUGUUUAACCAGCUCGCGCGCUGUGUGGAAUCCGCUUGUCGGGAGAAACACGCGUACCGGGUAAGAGCGCCGGGAUAUUUUCGGCGUCCAGCUCGCGACCGACGGCCCUUGAAAACUUGUCUGCUGUAUUAAGAUCCACGCCGUGGCGUACCGAUAACCGCAUCAGGUCCCCAAGGUGAACAGCCUCUGUCUAAUAUGAAAAAUGCA
RNAcentral lists this ribosomal RNA (1456 nucleotides) under Leptofauchea huawelau. RNAcentral's name for it is "Leptofauchea sp. MOPaiano-2022a partial large subunit ribosomal RNA". It matches the Rfam family "Eukaryotic large subunit ribosomal RNA", at positions 343 to 1902 of the family's 3401-position model. The record is from RNAcentral. Lineage: Eukaryota; Rhodophyta; Florideophyceae; Rhodymeniales; Faucheaceae.